AAAAUAACGAAAAGAAAAGAACAGAAAUCCAAUUUCACCUUGAAAAAUCUUUGUAUUCUCAAUGUUUUCUUUCUAUUCUUUUGUGUAUUUUUCCCGUCCCCCCUUUUACAGAUUUAAAAGGGCCUUUUAUAGGCCGAAAAGAAAAUAAAUCGAGGGAAAAAAAAACAAUAUUGCUUGCUGUUUUUUUCUCUUUGGACUCCUUGAGUCCGUUUUUCAGGUGUUCGUGGAGAGUUUGGCGCGCAUGGAGGCCGAAACGUGCGGCGAUCGGGCGUUGGGCGCGGCGUGGGUGCUGUUGCGGCGCUGAGGCAGAUGCGGCUAGGGUUUUCUUCUUUUGUUUUUUUUUUUGUGUUUUGGGCUGAUGUCUGUGUUGGGCUUAGGUUAGUUUUGUUAUUGGGCCAUUUAUUUGUUGGGCCUUAGACGAGUUUAGGCCUGCUAUUAAAAAACUGAAAUUGCCUGCUUUGUUUUUUGUUUGGGCCCGGGCAAUUUGGGCUUGUACAAUCUUUUUAAUAGAAAUGUUGACUAAAACGAUAAAUUUUUAAACAUAACAACC
Molecule: long non-coding RNA, 550 nt
Filed under: Gossypium raimondii (Peruvian cotton)
Lineage: Eukaryota; Viridiplantae; Streptophyta; Magnoliopsida; Malvales; Malvaceae
Description: long non-coding RNA (GRAI_LNC003676)
Source: RNAcentral